RNAcentral lists this ribosomal RNA (324 nucleotides) under uncultured eukaryote. RNAcentral describes it as "partial 18S ribosomal RNA". It matches the Rfam family "Eukaryotic small subunit ribosomal RNA", at positions 1470 to 1796 of the family's 1831-position model. The record is from RNAcentral.
CCCUUAGAUGUUCUGGGCCGCACGCGUGCUACACUGAUGCGAUCAACAAGUUUUUCCUAUGUCGAUAGACACGGGUAAUCUUUUGAACUCGCAUCGUGAUGGGGAUAGAUUAUUGUAAUUAUUAAUCUUCAACGAGGAAUUCCUAGUAGGUGCAAAUCAUCAGUUUGCAUCGAUUACGUCCCUGCCCUUUGUACACACCGCCCGUCGCUGCUACCGAUUGGUUGAUCUGGUGAAUUAUUCGGACUGCCGGCUGAAGGGGUUUCCUCAUCUGCCAGCGGAAAGUCUUGUUAACCCUAUCAACUAGAGGAAGCAGAAGUCGUAACA